This 85-nucleotide transfer RNA is filed under the name Methanomicrobiales archaeon. RNAcentral's name for it is "tRNA-Leu". It matches the Rfam family "tRNA". From Rfam's summary of the family: Transfer RNA (tRNA) molecules are approximately 80 nucleotides in length. Their secondary structure includes four short double-helical elements and three loops (D, anti-codon, and T loops). The record is from RNAcentral. Lineage: Archaea; Methanobacteriati; Methanobacteriota; Methanomicrobia; Methanomicrobiales.
GCGAGGGUACCUAAGCCAGGCCAACGGGGCCGGACUUAAGAUCCGGUGUCGCAGGACUCCGAGGGUUCGAAUCCCUCCCCUCGCA